GAAAUGCGAUAAGUAAUGUGAAUUGCAGAAUUCCGUGAAUCAUCGAAUCUUUGAACGCACAUUGCGCCCUCUGGUAUUCCGGGGGGCAUGCCUGUCCGAGCGUCAUUGCGAACCCCUCAAGCACGGCUUGUGUGAUGGGCCCUCCCGCGUCUUGGUCGUCAAGACGGGCCCGAAAUGCAGUGGCGGCUUCGCGGUAUCCGAUCAGCCAGAGCGUAUGGGGACUUUCUCUCUGUCACACGCCCGCGGCGCGGACCGACGCCUGUCGACCUUUAUUCAUCUUUUUCUCGGUUGACCUCGGAUCAGGUAGGGAUACCCGCUGAACUUAAGC
This 328-nucleotide unclassified non-coding RNA is filed under the name plant metagenome. RNAcentral's name for it is "partial contains 5.8S ribosomal RNA, internal transcribed spacer 2, and large subunit ribosomal RNA". The stretch from base 1 to 105 matches the Rfam family "5.8S ribosomal RNA", at positions 50 to 154 of the family's 154-position model. The record is from RNAcentral.